UACAGAGGUCUCGAGCGUUAGGCGGAAUCACUGGGCUUAAAGCGUGUGUAGGCGGAUGCCUAAGUACCUUGUGAAAUCCCACAGCUUAACUGUGGAACUGCUUGGUAUACUGGGUGUCUUGAGCCACUCAGGGGGCGAGCGGAACAAAUGGUGGAGCGGUGAAAUGCGUAGAUAUCAUUUGGAACGCCAAUGGUGAAAACAGCUCGCUGGGGGGUGUGCUGACGCUGAGACACGAAAGCCAGGGGAGCGAACGGG
RNAcentral lists this ribosomal RNA (255 nucleotides) under uncultured bacterium. RNAcentral's name for it is "partial 16S ribosomal RNA". It matches the Rfam family "Bacterial small subunit ribosomal RNA", at positions 524 to 776 of the family's 1533-position model. The record is from RNAcentral.